RNAcentral lists this ribosomal RNA (392 nucleotides) under Cylindrotheca closterium. Its description in RNAcentral is "partial Bacterial small subunit ribosomal RNA". It matches the Rfam family "Bacterial small subunit ribosomal RNA", at positions 259 to 643 of the family's 1533-position model. Lineage: Eukaryota; Bacillariophyta; Bacillariophyceae; Bacillariales; Bacillariaceae. The record is from RNAcentral.
AAUGGCCUACCAAGUCUACAAUCUAUAGCUGGUUUUAGAGGAUGAUCAGCAACACUGGGACUGAGACACGGCCCAGACUCCUACGGGAGGCAGCAGUGGGGAAUAUUGCACAAUGGGGGAAACCCUGAUGCAGCCAUGCCGCGUGUGUGAAGAAGGCCUUCGGGUUGUAAAGCACUUUCAGUUGUGAGGAAAAGUUAGUAGUUAAUACCUGCUAGCCGUGACGUUAACAACAGAAGAAGCACCGGCUAACUCCGUGCCAGCAGCCGCGGUAAUACGGAGGGUGCGAGCGUUAAUCGGAAUUACUGGGCGUAAAGCGCACGCAGGCGGUUUGUUAAGCUAGAUGUGAAAGCCCCGGGCUCAACCUGGGAUAGUCAUUUAGAACUGGCAGACUA